RNAcentral lists this ribosomal RNA (660 nucleotides) under uncultured Bacilli bacterium. RNAcentral describes it as "bacterial SSU rRNA". It matches the Rfam family "Bacterial small subunit ribosomal RNA", at positions 87 to 734 of the family's 1533-position model. The record is from RNAcentral. Lineage: Bacteria; Bacillati; Bacillota; Bacilli.
AAAGAGGAGUGGCGAACGGGUGAGUAACACGUGGGUAACCUGCCCAUCAGAAGGGGAUAACACUUGGAAACAGGUGCUAAUACCGUAUAACAAUCGAAACCGCAUGGUUUUGAUUUGAGAGGCGCUUUCGGGUGUCGCUGAUGGAUGGACCCGCGGUGCAUUAGCUAGUUGGUGAGGUAACGGCUCACCAAGGCCACGAUGCAUAGCCGACCUGAGAGGGUGAUCGGCCACAUUGGGACUGAGACACGGCCCAAACUCCUACGGGAGGCAGCAGUAGGGAAUCUUCGGCAAUGGACGAAAGUCUGACCGAGCAACGCCGCGUGAGUGAAGAAGGUUUUCGGAUCGUAAAACUCUGUUAUUAGAGAAGAACAAGGAUGAGAGUAACUGUUCAUCCCUUGACGGUAUCUAACCAGAAAGCCACGGCUAACUACGUGCCAGCAGCCGCGGUAAUACGUAGGUGGCAAGCGUUGUCCGGAUUUAUUGGGCGUAAAGCGAGCGCAGGCGGUUUCUUAAGUCUGAUGUGAAGCCCCCGGCUCAACCGGGGAGGGUCAUUGGAAACUGGGAGACUUGAGUGCAGAAGAGGAGAGUGGAAUUCCAUGUGUAGCGGUGAAAUGCGUAGAUAUAUGGAGGAACACCAGUGGCGAAGGCGGCUCUCUGGUC